Molecule: unclassified non-coding RNA, 208 nt
Filed under: Hevea brasiliensis (rubber tree)
Lineage: Eukaryota; Viridiplantae; Streptophyta; Magnoliopsida; Malpighiales; Euphorbiaceae
Source: RNAcentral
UCAGGCGAGGGCAGGCGCGAGCGAUAGAGCCGCGCCAGCGCCGCUGCGAUGUCCUCAGCCGAACGCUCGGCGAGCAGUGCGCGCGCCAGAACGAGAUCGUCUUCGGUGGUCGCUUCACCAAACAGCGCGUCCUGCAGCAUACGCUGCUGAUCGAGCGCGCGGAUUUCCUCUACGGUGGGAGACGUGCCCCAUACCGCAUCGAUGCCCG